This 301-nucleotide ribosomal RNA is filed under the name uncultured bacterium. Its description in RNAcentral is "partial 16S ribosomal RNA". It matches the Rfam family "Bacterial small subunit ribosomal RNA", at positions 509 to 808 of the family's 1533-position model. The record is from RNAcentral.
CAGCAGCCGCGGUAAUACGUAGGUGGCAAGCGUUGUCCGGAAUUAUUGGGCGUAAAGGGCUCGCAGGCGGUUUCUUAAGUCUGAUGUGAAAGCCCCCGGCUCAACCGGGGGGGUCAUUGGAAACUGGGAAACUUGAGUGCAGAAGAGGAGAGUGGAAUUCCACGUGUAGCGGUGAAAUGCGUAGAGAUGUGGAGGAACACCAGUGGCGAAGGCGACUCUCUGGUCUGUAACUGACGCUGAGGAGCGAAAGCGUGGGGAGCGAACAGGAUUAGAUACCCCGGUAGUCCCUGUCUCUUAUACC